This 305-nucleotide ribosomal RNA is filed under the name uncultured bacterium. Its description in RNAcentral is "bacterial SSU rRNA". It matches the Rfam family "Bacterial small subunit ribosomal RNA", at positions 336 to 638 of the family's 1533-position model. The record is from RNAcentral.
CCCCUGCGGGGCGCAGCAGUGAGGAAUAUUGGUCAAUGGGCUUACGCCUGAACCAGCCAAGUCGCGUGAGGGAAGACUGCCCUAUGGGUUGUAAACCUCUUUUGUCAGGGAGCAACGCCGGCUACGUGUAGCCGGACUGAGAGUACCUGAAGAAAAAGCAUCGGCUAACUCCGAGCCAGCAGCGGCGGUAAUACGGAGGAUGCGAGAGUUAUCCGGAUUUAUUGGGUUUAAAGGGUGCGUAGGCGGAAUGCCAAGUCAGCGGAAAAAUGGCGGGGCUCAACAUCGCUCCGACGUUGAAACUGGCG